RNAcentral lists this ribosomal RNA (301 nucleotides) under uncultured bacterium. Its description in RNAcentral is "partial 16S ribosomal RNA". It matches the Rfam family "Bacterial small subunit ribosomal RNA", at positions 509 to 807 of the family's 1533-position model. The record is from RNAcentral.
CAGUAGCCGCGGUAAAACGGAGGGGGCUAGCGUUGUUCGGAAUUACUGGGCGUAAAGCGCACGUAGGCGGCUUGGUAAGCUAGAGGUGAAAGCCCGGAGCUCAACUCCGGAAUUGCCUUUAAGACUGCCGAGCUAGUAGGUGAGAGAGGUAAGUGGAAUUCCGAGUGUAGAGGUGAAAUUCGUAGAUAUUCGGAAGAACACCAGUGGCGAAGGCGGCUUACUGGCUCAUUCUAGACGCUGAGGUGCGAAAGCGUGGGGAGCAAACAGGAUUAGAUACCCCAGUAGUCCCUGUCUCUUAUAC